ACAGAGGGGGCAAGCGUUGCUCGGAAUCACUGGGCGUAAAGGGCGCGUAGGCGGGAUGGCAAGUCAGUCGUGAAAUCUCUCGGCUCAACCGAGAAACGUCGGCUGAUACUGCCGUUCUUGAGGGAUGCAGAGGAGACUGGAAUUCCCGGUGUAGCGGUGGAAUGCGUAGAGAUCCGGAAGAACACCGGUGGCGAAGGCGGCCUGCUGGGCAGUGGCUGACGCUGAGGCGCGACAGCGUGGGGAGCAAACAGGA
Molecule: ribosomal RNA, 253 nt
Filed under: uncultured prokaryote
Description: partial 16S ribosomal RNA
Rfam family: Bacterial small subunit ribosomal RNA
Source: RNAcentral